This is a long non-coding RNA of Xenia sp. Carnegie-2017, 980 nucleotides long. RefSeq lists it as uncharacterized. The transcript is spliced from 2 exons. The record is from RefSeq and is a predicted model, not a curated record. NCBI's taxonomy places the organism in Eukaryota, Metazoa, Cnidaria, Anthozoa, Malacalcyonacea, Xeniidae.
AUGACUAUCGCAUUUGGCUUAUUUAUAUCUUGAAGUCAUCAUGGCUGAAAGUAGGCAUAUAUACGAUUUUGGCUCAUUGAUUCAAGACAGUUAAACCAGCGAGAUUUCUUCUGUAAGAAAGGAUUAUGAAGCAAAAGUCUCUGCUGCCAUUCCGACUAAAACAGACCUGUUUCGAAAAGGAAAGCUGGCGAGAGAUCUUAACGCAGAGUUGAAUAUCCCUAACCAUAUGGGAGAUAAUUGGCGGGCUUUAAAAACUAGAGGUGAUGGUAACUGCGUGAAAAUUUCUUUGCUAUAUCUACGUAUCUUUUUCUGCUCUUGGAGGAGUGAUAUUAUCAAUGAAAGAAGAGAAUAACAUUUAUCAUUACUUGUUGCCUGCUUUUGGUACGAUGAUUACAUCGUGAACAUUUCUUUGCUAUAUCUACGUAUCUUUUUCUGCUCUUGGAGGAGUGGUAUUAUCAACGAAAGAAGAAGAAUAACAUUUAUUACUACUUGUUGCCUGCCUUAAGUACGAUGAUCACAUCGUGAACAUUUCUUUGCUAUGUCUACGUAUCGUUUUCUGCUGUUGGACGAGUGGUAUUAUCAACAAAAGAAGAAGAAUAAGAUUUAUCAUUACUUGUUGCCUGCCUUUGGUACGAUGAUUACAUCGUGAACAUUUCUUUGCUAUGUCUACGUAUCUUUUCUGUUGUUGGACGAGUGGUAUCAAGUGUGAUUAAUGGUCAAAAACUUGUGCUUCAUUUGUGAGAUAUAAAAGGUUUCUUUGCGUUUCACGACAAAAAAUAUGCCAAGCUUCUACCUUUUCAAAAUCACUCGUGGAUUGUUAUGAUACCUUCAUGAUUGUAAGUUUUGGCGAAGGUAUGAAACUUGAUAAAUCAAAUAGUAGUAAUGAAAAUGUUUAAAGGUUAAUGGAAUUUUAGAUUUUAUAGCUAUCAUUGAAAUUUGCGAAAAGUUUACAAACUAAGUAAAGCCAAGUUUUUUUUAAA